Molecule: ribosomal RNA, 1068 nt
Filed under: Triticum aestivum (bread wheat)
Lineage: Eukaryota; Viridiplantae; Streptophyta; Magnoliopsida; Poales; Poaceae
Description: partial small subunit ribosomal RNA
Source: RNAcentral
AUGGGGCAGUCCAAGCCAGUCCUGGUCCUCCUCCUGCUCGCCGUCUCCACUGCGGCGAGCAGCGGCAAACCGCUGCUCACUAAGAUCACCAAAGGCGGCGCGGCGACGGCCCUGUACACGGCGCCGCUCAGCGCCGGCCGCCCGCUGGUCCUCGACCUCUCCGCCCCGGCCAUCACGACGCCGUGCAGCGGGCAGACGACGACCGUCACGCUCUCGGCCAACUCUACCGACGGCAGCAACCCGCUAUCCCUGGUCUCCUUGGCUGCCACUGCCACCUGCGCGGCGGCACCGUCCGGUGCCGUCGGCGUCGCGGGGCUCGCGCGCUCCAGCGCCUCGUUCCCGGCUCAGGUGGCGAGCACGCAAAAGGUGGCCAACUCGUUCGCUCUCUGCCUUCCAAGCGACGGCAGGACCGGGUUCACCGGCAACGGCGUGGGUGCGGCCAUCUUCGGCGGCGGCCCGUUCUUUCUCGCGCCCCCAGCGGACCGGCCGUCCAUCACGACGCUCCUCUCCGACGGGGUUCCGCUGCGCCAGCCCUUCGCCGGUAACCCCGGCUACUUCGUCUCAGCCACCAACGGCAUCGCCAUAGACGGGACGCGCGUGGCCGUGUCCGGCACCGGCGCGCUCGUGGUCGGCCUCUCCACCACGAUCUCCUACGCGCAGCUCCGUGCCGACGUCUACCGUCCCUUCAUCACGGCCUUCGACCGCGCCAUGGGCUCCAGCGCCAAGGUCGCGGCCGUGGCGCCGUUCGAGCUGUGCUAUGACUCGUCGAAGCUGGCGCCGACGCGGUUCGGGUACCUGGUGCCGAACGUGGACUUGAUGCUGGAGGGCGGGACGAACUGGACGGUGGUGGGCGGCAACUCCAUGGCGCAGGUGAACAGCGGCACGGCGUGCUUCGCGUUCGUCCGGUCUGGGAGCACGGACGCGACGCCGGCGCUGGUGAUCGGAGGGUUCCAGAUGGAGAACAAGCUGGUGGUGCUGGACAAUGGCAAGAAGACGCUCAGCUUCACUCAGAACCUCCCGGGCAUGGGGUUCUCCUGCAGCAACUUCAAUUUCACCAAGGCCGCCUAG